CUCGCCGUAGUUCAACGGAUAGAACACAUGCCUCCUAAGCGUGUGAUACAGGUUCGAUUCCUGUCGGCGGGACCA
RNAcentral lists this transfer RNA (75 nucleotides) under Snodgrassella alvi. Its description in RNAcentral is "tRNA-Arg". It matches the Rfam family "tRNA". Rfam says of the family: Transfer RNA (tRNA) molecules are approximately 80 nucleotides in length. Their secondary structure includes four short double-helical elements and three loops (D, anti-codon, and T loops). Further hydrogen bonds mediate the characteristic L-shaped molecular structure. tRNAs have two regions of fundamental functional importance: the anti-codon, which is responsible for specific mRNA codon recognition, and the 3' end, to which the tRNAs corresponding amino acid is attached (by aminoacyl-tRNA synthetases). tRNAs cope with the degeneracy of the genetic code in two manners: having more than one tRNA (with a specific anti-codon) for a particular amino acid; and 'wobble' base-pairing, i.e. permitting non-standard base-pairing at the 3rd anti-codon position. RNAcentral also lists the same sequence under 5 other names. Lineage: Bacteria; Pseudomonadati; Pseudomonadota; Betaproteobacteria; Neisseriales; Neisseriaceae. The record is from RNAcentral.